RNAcentral lists this long non-coding RNA (1671 nucleotides) under Homo sapiens (human). RNAcentral's name for it is "non-protein coding lnc-ZKSCAN3-3:1". Lineage: Eukaryota; Metazoa; Chordata; Mammalia; Primates; Hominidae. The record is from RNAcentral.
AGUGUUUCCGCGCGUCUACGUGAGAGGAAGGUUGAUGGCUUUCAGGCCCGCUGGUAAAUGGAACGGGUUUAUCUUCUCCUCUUCUUUACCCAGCCAUUGUCCACACUUCCCCCGACCCGAUGGGUGGUCGAGGCUUGUAGAACUGAUCUUAAGACAGGGAAAUCCCUUGCGUCUCCAUUCACUUUGGGAUUCUGUGUCUCUGAGGUUAGAGAUGCCUCAAAGGGAUGUUCUCCGGGGGACCUUCCCAAAUCCGCGCUUAGCGGUGGCGAAGGGACUUCUUCCACACAGACUUCUCAAGGGCCAGCCGGCUGGUUUCUGCCGGCUCUUUCGCCAUCCACGAUUCUUUUGAUGUUCUCUUUUAUGUGCUGAUGUAUGAUUAUAUGUCAGAAAACCCGGUUCAAUGGAAAAACUAUAAAAAAAGGAUAAUUUAGUAAAAUAGCAAGAUAUAAAGUUAACACACUAAAAUCAACGACCUUCAUAUAUGUGAAUAAUCAAUGAUAACGAGUUACGAGAUAUAAUGGAAGAGAAGACCAUAUUUACAAGAGCAGCAAAAAAGUGAAACUAGGAAUAAACUUAACAAGAAAUGAACAAAACUUCUAUGGGGAAAGCUUUAAAACAUUCCUAAAAGGCCAAGUAUACAUUUAAACAAACAGAAAGCGAUAUGAGGUUCUUGGAAAGACUCAAAGAGAACAAUUGCUCUUGAAGUCCUGAGCCACCAUGGAAGAAGUCUGCCAACCCUGCUUUCCAGUGACUGAGUUGCAAGAAUCCUUCAAGAUGCCAAAAAGAUGACCCCAAAGUGAGCUUUGUGUGUCUCCGAGACCACAUAAAGAAGCUCUGAGACCACAUGGAGAAGAUCAGCCCGGCUAAGCCCACUUUUCUGGCUGUCCCUGCCAAGGCACUUGGCAUGGCAGUGAAGCUGUCUUGGAUUUUCCAGACAAAUUAUACUGCCAGAUGAAUACCAGCAUGUGAUCUUAGUUGACACCACAUGAAACAGAAGAAUUUCUCAGCUAAGUCCUCCCCAAAUUCCUGGCCCAAAACAUGAUGGUGUGUUUUUGUCCACUGUUUUGGAGUAACUAUUUAUGCAGCAAUAGAUAACAAGAUCAGAUGUUUACCAGAUUGUAACAGUUUGAUUAGACUAUUUCCUAAGAAUAUUAACUUUCCUUCGUUUCAAUGACAUAGUCAACAUGCAAUUUUCAAUUUGUAGUUGAUAUUUAAAUUUCCAGUUAGGAAAAAGCUUGAUGUUGAGGACUUGCACUAAAUUUUAGGCCAGGUAUAGCUCCAAUUUUUAUGGAAAUUAUUAUGUAUACAGUAUAAGGUAAUUUUUUAUAGGCUAUAGUUAACAAUUUCUUUUUUAUCUUUUUUUAUUAUUUAUUUAUUUUUUAUUAUACUUUAAGUUCUAGGGUACAUGUGCACAACGUGCAGGUUUGUUACAUAUGUAUACAUGUGCCAUGUUGGUUUGCUGCACCCACUAAUUCAUCAUUUACAUUAGGUAUUUCUCCUAAUGCUUUCCCCUAUCCCCCCACCCCACGACAGGCCCCGGUGUGUGAUGUACCCCGCCCUGUGUCCAAGUGUUCUCGUUGUUCAGUUCCCACCUAUGAGUGAGAACAUGUGGUGUUUGAUUUUCUGUCCUUGCCAUAGUUUGCUCAGAAUGAUGGUUUCCUGCUUCAUCCA